Molecule: ribosomal RNA, 253 nt
Filed under: uncultured bacterium
Lineage: Bacteria
Description: partial 16S ribosomal RNA
Rfam family: Bacterial small subunit ribosomal RNA
Source: RNAcentral
UACGUAGGGUGCGAGCGUUGUCCGGAAUUAUUGGGCGUAAAGAGCUCGUAGGCGGCUUGUCGCGUCGGAUGUGAAAGCCCGGGGCUUAACUCCGGGUCUGCAUUCGAUACGGGCAGGCUAGAGUUCGGUAGGGGAGAUCGGAAUUCCAGGUGUAGCGGUGGAAUGCGUAGAUAUCUGGAAGAACACCGGUGGCGAAGGCGGUGGUCUGGGCCAAAACUGACGCUGAGGAGCGAAAGCCAGGGGAGCAAACGGG